ACAAAACAGAAAGGCCCAUACAGACACAUUCCCAAAUAUUUUAGAAAAUAAAUCCCCCUUUCUGCCUAUGUUUAAGCUGGUUCACUUAAAACGCAAGGUGCAACUUGUACAGCUGGCAAACUAAAAAUACCAUUUAUCUUGUUGAAGUACACUGUAUAUAUUGGGAAUUUCUCAAAAUGGAAAAGAAAAUACCACUAAAGCCAUUACCUUUUGACCACUGCACACAUCAAGUCUAUCUCUCAAAUGUUUCAUCUG
This 255-nucleotide long non-coding RNA is filed under the name Bos taurus (domestic cattle). RNAcentral describes it as "long non-coding RNA NONBTAT020396". The record is from RNAcentral. Lineage: Eukaryota; Metazoa; Chordata; Mammalia; Artiodactyla; Bovidae.